This 910-nucleotide ribosomal RNA is filed under the name Aspergillus subalbidus. Its description in RNAcentral is "LSU rRNA". It matches the Rfam family "Eukaryotic large subunit ribosomal RNA", at positions 38 to 960 of the family's 3401-position model. Lineage: Eukaryota; Fungi; Ascomycota; Eurotiomycetes; Eurotiales; Aspergillaceae. The record is from RNAcentral.
GCAUAUCAAUAAGCGGAGGAAAAGAAACCAACCGGGAUUGCCUUCAGUAACGGCGAAGUGAAGCGGCAAGAAGCUCAAAUUUGAAAGCUGGCUCCUUCGGGGUCCGCAUUGUAAUUUGCAGAGGAKGCUUCGGGUGCGGCCCCUGUCUAAGUGCCCUGGAACGGGCUGUCAGAGAGGGUGAGAAUCCCGUCUGGGAUGGGGUGUCCGCGCCCGUGUGAAGCUCCUUCGACGAGUCGAGUUGUUUGGGAAUGCAGCUCUAAAUGGGUGGUAAAUUUCAUCUAAAGCUAAAUAUUGGCCGGAGACCGAUAGCGCACAAGUAGAGUGAUCGAAAGAUGAAAAGCACUUUGAAAAGAGAGUUAAACAGCACGUGAAAUUGUUGAAAGGGAAGCGCUUGCGACCAGACUCGCCCGCGGGGUUCAGCCGGCAUUCGUGCCGGUGUACUUCCCCGUGGGCGGGCCAGCGUCGGUUUGGGCGGCCGGUCAGCGGCUCCCGGAAUGUAGCGCCUCUCGGGGCGCCUUAUAGCCGGGGGUGCAGUGCGGCCAGCCUGGACCGAGGAACGCGCUUCGGCACGGACGCUGGCAUAAUGGUCGUAAACGACCCGUCUUGAAACACGGACCAAGGAGUCUAACAUCUACGCGAGUGUUCGGGUGUCAAACCCGUGCGCGCAGUGAAAGCGAACGGAGGUGGGAGCCCCCUGAGGGGCGCACCAUCGACCGAUCCUGAUGUCUUCGGAUGGAUUUGAGUAGGAGCGUAGCUGUGGGGACCCGAAAGAUGGUGAACUAUGCCUGAAUAGGGCGAAGCCAGAGGAAACUCUGGUGGAGGCUCGCAGCGGUUCUGACGUGCAAAUCGAUCGUCGAAUUUGGGUAUAGGGGGCGAAAGACUAAUCGAACCAUCUGGUAGCUGGUUCUGC